AGUCGAACGAGAGAAUUGCUAGCUUGCUAAUAAUUCUCUAGUGGCGCACGGGUGAGUAACACGUGAGUAACCUGCCCCCGAGAGCGGGAUAGCCCUGGGAAACUGGGAUUAAUACCGCAUAGUAUCGAAAGAUUAAAGCAGCAAUGCGCUUGGGGAUGGGCUCGCGGCCUAUUAGUUAGUUGGUGAGGUAACGGCUCACCAAGGCGAUGACGGGUAGCCGGUCUGAGAGGAUGUCCGGCCACACUGGAACUGAGACACGGUCCAGACACCUACGGGUGGCAGCAGUCGAGAAUCAUUCACAAUGGGGGAAACCCUGAUGGUGCGACGCCGCGUGGGGGAAUGAAGGUCUUCGGAUUGUAAACCCCUGUCAUGUGGGAGCAAAUUAAAAAGAUAGUACCACAAGAGGAAGAGACGGCUAACUCUGUGCCAGCAGCCGCGGUAAUACAGAGGUCUCAAGCGUUGUUCGGAAUCACUGGGCGUAAAGCGUGCGUAGGCUGUUUCGUAAGUCGUGUGUGAAAGGCGCGGGCUCAACCCGCGGACGGCACAUGAUACUGCGAGACUAGAGUAAUGGAGGGGGAACCGGAAUUCUCGGUGUAGCAGUGAAAUGCGUAGAUAUCGAGAGGAACACUCGUGGCGAAGGCGGGUUCCUGGACAUUAACUGACGCUGAGGCACGAAGGCCAGGGGAGCGAAAGGGAUUAGAUACCCCUGUAGUCCUGGCAGUAAACGGUGCACGCUUGGUGUGCGGGGAAUCGACCCCCUGCGUGCCGGAGCUAACGCGUUAAGCGUGC
Molecule: ribosomal RNA, 789 nt
Filed under: uncultured bacterium
Lineage: Bacteria
Description: bacterial SSU rRNA
Rfam family: Bacterial small subunit ribosomal RNA
Source: RNAcentral